AGACAAUUUAAGAUUCAUUUGUGAAAAGAGAACAGUCUCUAAACUUGUAAUAUAUCAGAUUUUGGUAUAAAAAUAAAGAUAAAUAAAAGUAGUGUGAGAUACUAUUUUUAUUGGGUUUCGAAAAGCAAAAUAUAUGUCUAGAGUGACUUGUGCUGAAAUCGGAAUGAAAACAGAAUAUUUAUAAUUUUCUGUUGGAAACGGGGCGGAUAAAAUUAGCAGGAAAUGCACAGUGUCAGAAAAUUAUGAAAAUUGGCGGUAGAUGUCAGAAAUAUUUUUAUGAGGCUAGAUUUAAAGUUUCAUACCAUUCUGACACCCGUAGAGAGAGAAAUAGAAUCCGAAAGCUAUCUGAUAAAGAUUGCAGUCCGGUACAGUUUUCGAUGACCAAACGUGGUCGAAACUGAAAGAUUAAAAUUUCUUCGGACUUAUUAAGAAAA
RNAcentral lists this long non-coding RNA (434 nucleotides) under Ananas comosus (pineapple). Its description in RNAcentral is "long non-coding RNA (ACOM_LNC021214)". Lineage: Eukaryota; Viridiplantae; Streptophyta; Magnoliopsida; Poales; Bromeliaceae. The record is from RNAcentral.